UGUACAGAAAUGCAAGAGAUUUCUGUGUGUUAAUUUUGUAUCCUGCAACUUUCCUGAAUUCAUUGAUGAGCUCUAGUGGUUUUCUGACAGCAUCUUUAGGAUUUUCUAUGUAUAGUAUCAUGUCAUCUGCAAACAGUGGCAGUUUUACUUCUUUUCCUUUUUUAAAUGAUUUUUAUUUUUUCCAUUAUAGUUGGUUUAUAGUGUUCUGUCAAUUUUCUACUAUACAGUAGAGUGACCCAGUCAGAGAGAGAUAUAUACAUUCUUUUUCUCACAUUAUCCUCCAUCAUACUCCAUAACAAGUGACUAGAUACAGUUCCUAGUUCUGUGCAGCAAGAUUUCAUUGCUUAUCCAUUCCAGAUGGAAUAGUUUGCAUCUAUUAAUCCCAGACUCCCAGUCCAUCCCAUUCCCUGCCCCCUAGCAAACACAAGUCUACUCUCCUAUGUCUGUAAUCUGUUUCUAUUUUGUAGAUAGGAUCAUUUGUGCCAUAUUUUAAUUCCAUAUAUAAGGGAUAUCAUAUGGUAUUUGUCUUUCUCUUUCUGACUUACUUUACUUAGUAUGAUAAUCUUUAGUUGCAUCCAUAUUGCUGCAAAUGGCAUCGUUUUGACCGUUUUUAUGGCUAAAUAGUAUUCCAUGGUAUGUAUGUAUGACAUUUUCUUAAUCCAUUCAUCUGUUAAUGGACAUUUAGGUUGUGCCCAUGUCUUAGCUAUUAUGAAUAGUGCUGAAAUGAACAUUGAGGUGCAUUUAUCUUUUUGAAUGAAAGUUUUAUCUGGAUAUAUGCCCAGGAGUGGGAUUGCUGGAUCAUAUGAUAGUUCUAUAUUUAGUUUUCUGAGAAACCCUCCAUACUGUUUUCUAUAGUCAUUUGUUUUGCAUGUGAACUCUUAGAUGUGGUUGAGCAAACCUUUCCUAGAAAUACUGCAGUAAAGUGGGUUAAAAACCUAAAUCUAGAUCAGAUUUAAUUAUUUUAAGAAACAUUAAAGCCCUAGUGUAAAUCACAAAAUAUUAUCUGAAAUUUUGGCUAAGUUCUUUAUAGCAAAAAUUUGUAUGCUUUUUUAUUUGUGUUUUUGUAGGUUAUAUAGUGCCCUCUUUCUCCUGUGCCCUUUUUUUAAUGUGUUGGUGAAGGGAAUGAUUUCCUAAUCUGUUCCUACAAAUCACCACAUCUUAUGUUUCUGGACAAUAAAUAAUGAGAAUGUAAAUAUUCCUUAUUGAAUGACAGUGUUUUGCCUACUCUGUGUUUAGUGAUUAUUUUUAGAGAAUCUUUUAGAGGUCUAGGGCUCAACAAUGAGAAUAAACUUUUUGUAUCCUGGGCAGAGUAAAAUUGAAACAAAAUAGGAGUUGGAUUAGUGCUUAGGAGAAAUAAUACAUUUUCCUCUCCAUUUUUUUUUGUCUUUCUCUUUGUCUCACUGUCUUACUCUCUUUCCUUUAUGUACACACACACACACACACACACACACACACACACACACACGCCUUCAUAACAGUUGUGACACUUGGAGCUAGAAAUGAAGAGGGCAAAAUAGAAGUCAAAACAUUCAGAGGCAUCACUUUUUUUUUAAUUAAAAAAAAUUUUUUUUAUUGUGGCUGUACCUGCAGCAUAUUUAAGUUCCUGGGCCACAGCAAUAUUGUAUCUCAGCUGCGUCUGUGAUCUACGCCACAGCUUGUGGAAGACCCAGAUCCUUAACCCACUGAGCCAGCGAACUACCCGCAUCUUCACUAUGUCAGGUUCUUAAACUGCUGAUCCACAAAGGGAAUUCCCAGAGGCAUACCUUUAAAUGAAGUAUUUCCAUUUCCAUGAUUUUAUCCUAAGGAACAAAGUUUAAGUUAUAAGGUUUUCGUCUCAUUUUUCUAUACAGUAGUGAAAAAACCAAUCUAAUGUUUCUAAUGUUAACCAAUCUAAAUGUCACAGAGAUUUUAUUAAAUAUAUUGCUCUAAUUUUAUGCAGUGGAAUAGAAUGCAGCUAUUAAAACCAUGGUAUAGAAGAAUAUACUACUACAUGAGUAAAUGUUAUUUUGCUAAAGUACAAGGUCAAGGUUGCUGUUGCUGCUUUUUUUAUUUUUUACUUUUUAGGGCCGUACUCGUGGUAUAUGGAGGUUCCCAGGCUAGGGAUCUAAUCAGAGCUGUAGCCACCGGCCAAUGCCAUAGCCACAGCAAUGUGGAAUUUGAGUUGUGUCUGUGACCUACACCACAGCUUGCAGCAACACUGGAUCCUUAACCCACUGGGCGAGGCCAGAGAUUGAACCUGUGUCCUCAGGGCCACUAGUCAGAUUCGUUUCCGCUGAGACAUGACGGGAACUCUUCAAGUUUGCUUCUAUGACUGUAGUGGGUCCUGGCCAGGUCUACCUGGGACCAAUAACUCUUUUUUAAGAAACAGAAGACAAAACAUACUGUGAUGCAGUGAGAAUUUCCUUACAUAGUUUUAGAAUGGAUCCUUAAGUGCUGGCAACCCCCAGUAUCAGGGAUCCUCUUCCACUUGCUCCUUAAAGUGCAGUCUGUGGACUAACAGCAUCCUUUCACCUGAGACUGGUUAGGAUCUCAGCCCUCACCCCAGACCUACUGAAUCAGAAUCUGUGUUUUAGCAAAAGCCCCUGAUGUUUCCUAUGCACAAUAAAGUUUGAGAAGCCUUAUAACUUACUUGUGCCUUUGGUCUUGUGAAUAACUUUGCAAUGCAUGAUUUGCCAGUCUCUGAAGACAACAUCAGUGGAAGUCCAGCCACUGUUCUCUCCCAGUUUUGAACCAGAUCAGCCUUUGUCAUCUGGACUAGCUUAUAUAUGUGAUUCUACAUCCUAAAAAGAUUCUAGUUCCUAAAAUGUGUUUACUGGGGCACAGGUUCAUUCCUUUCUCAAUAACCAUUUAUUAAAUCCAGCUCUGUUAUAGGCACGAGGGUUAUAGCAGGGAACCAAAUAAAAUCUGUGCAGUCAUGGGUCUUAUAGUUGGAAUUGGUAUAAAAGGAUUAAAAAAAUAAGAGAUAAGAGUGAUUUGUGGCCAUAUAUAUUUAUUAACUGCAAUUUCUCACAUUCUUUAAUAUAUUAUUUUGCAUUUAUGAGUUAGUAUGGCAUGGAGGGCAGAGGUUGAGCAUAUUUUAUAUAGCACUGAUUUGACGAGCCACUUUAUUAAGGGAAUACUGGCAUGAUUCACGGGUUUUUUUUUUUUUGGUCUUUUUAGGGCUGCACCCGCGGCAUAUGGAGGUUCCCGGGAUAGGGGUGUAAUGGGAGCUACAGCUGCCAGCCUACGCCAGAGCCACAGCAGUGCAGGACCAGAGCUGCGUCUGUGACCUACAGCACAGCUCACAGCAAUGCUGGAUCCUUAACCCACUGAGCAAGGCCAGGGAUCGAACCCACAACCUCAUGGUUCCUAGUCGGAUUCGUUAACCCCCGAGCCACUAGGGGAACUCCUGUUUUUUAAAUAUAUUUUUCAUAAAAUUCAGAGACAUUUAUUUCUUCUCUCCUUUACCUUCAAAUGAUGAUGCUUUAUACUCAUUUAACAACUAACUCCAUUGAUGUUUAAAACAUGCUGAUAUUUCUCCAUAAUGAUAUUAAGGGCAAAUGAAGUGAGAGAGGCUAUCGUCACCAACAUACAAUAGAUGAAGAAUGGUGAAAGAAGGAGAAAAAAAGUAGUGGAAUAAUAAUAGCUAUAAUAGAGUGUGGCAGCCAGAAUUCUAAGAUGAUCCCCAUAAACUUCGCCCCUCAUGUUAUUCCUGUGACUGUAUAUCUUACAUGGCAAAAGGGAUUUUGCAGAUGGGAUUGACUUUACUAGUCCAUUUAACUUAAGACAAGGAGAUUGUCUGGGUGGGCUUCACCUGAUCACUUGAGCCCUUUUAAAGGUAGAGUUUUCUCUGGCUGAUGCAUUAAUUUCAGCUAUGCUACCCUGAGCAGAGAACCCAGGCAUACUGGCCUGGACUUCUGACCUUCAGAACUGUGGAUCUUAAACCAUUUUAAGCUGUUAAGUUUGUGGCAGUUUGUUUCAUAGCAGUAGAAAAGCAAAACACAGAGCUAGAAAGUGACCAUGUCUUUAAUUUGACAAAUGGAGGAACUUAAUUGAAGCCUAUGGGAAUGAAGUGGUUCACCCGAUGUGAUUGUCUUGGAGGGCUGCCAAGGUCACUUCUGGAGGUCACUUCCACCCUUAAGAUGCAAUAGUUUUAACAUUCACCUCCCCCUUUCCUGGGAAAUUACCUAGCAGAGUGUUUACUCUUAUGGUGUACAUUAGACACAGCCCUUCCCUUCAAAGAGAUCACAAGUCUUAUGAGGGGAACAGCCAGGUGCGUAGAGCUGGUGUAUGUGGAAUGCCACGCUGAGCUAUGCACAGGAAGGAGAAGGUGGCCUCUACAUCCUUUUGAUGGAAAAAUGUGUGCUUUCUAUUAGGAUUUUGGUUCUAUGUUACAUAAUGAGACCCUGUUAUUACCUGCAAGGACCUCUGGCAUGUGUUUAUGACGUCAGGCUGGGAACCAUUGCUCCUUUUAUUGAUGAGGAAAUUGAUACCAAGAGAGGGUUUAUGACGUGCCCAAAGUCACACUGUGGAAUAGUUCAGAAUCUGUUUAUGAACUUUGACCCAUUGACUCCAGGACUGUGUUUUUUCUGCUAUACUUGCAUUUUUUUUUUUUUUUCCCCAAACAGAAGCCAAUCUCUUUACUUUAUCUGAAAAACUCUACAAAAGACAGCAGAAAACUGUUAAAAUUCCAUAGAGGAGUUACCAUGUGGCUCAGUGGAAACGAAUCUGACUAGUAUCCUUGAGGAUGCAGGUUCUGUCCCUGGCCUCACUCGGUUAAGGAUCCAGUGUUGCUGUGAACUGUGGUGUAGGUCACAGAUGUGGCUCGGAUCUGGCGUUGCUGUGGCUGUGGCUGUGGCUAACAGUUACAGCUCCAAUUUGACCCCUAGUUUGGGAAUCUCCAUAUGCU
RNAcentral lists this long non-coding RNA (4888 nucleotides) under Sus scrofa (pig). RNAcentral describes it as "lncRNA (ENSSSCG00000059859.1)". Lineage: Eukaryota; Metazoa; Chordata; Mammalia; Artiodactyla; Suidae. The record is from RNAcentral.